Non-coding RNA from Salmo salar (Atlantic salmon), 54 nucleotides. The record is from Rfam. NCBI's taxonomy places the organism in Eukaryota, Metazoa, Chordata, Actinopteri, Salmoniformes, Salmonidae.
AAUAAUCACUCCUGUUACUCGCUCUGGAUAAGAGCGUCUGCUAAAUGACUAAAA